This 252-nucleotide unclassified non-coding RNA is filed under the name Hevea brasiliensis (rubber tree). Lineage: Eukaryota; Viridiplantae; Streptophyta; Magnoliopsida; Malpighiales; Euphorbiaceae. The record is from RNAcentral.
GCUUAAUGAGCUCAUAUAUAUAUAUUUUGAAAAUGCAUAAUUCAAUGCAUUAAAACACUCAAUGGGCCAGGAUACACAGAAGGUCUACGAUUAGAAUUACAAUACAAUAAGAAAACCCCUACGUAGUUCCAAGUACAAUACAAGGCCCAGGUCCCCAACCAUCAAACCCUAGACAGGAACACCAAGGUCUUCUUCUCCGCGUAGUAGCAUCGUCAUCAUUGGGAAAUCAGCUAGAGAGACCCAUUGGAAGCC